This 253-nucleotide ribosomal RNA is filed under the name uncultured bacterium. RNAcentral describes it as "partial 16S ribosomal RNA". It matches the Rfam family "Bacterial small subunit ribosomal RNA", at positions 524 to 776 of the family's 1533-position model. The record is from RNAcentral.
UACGUAGGGGGCAAGCGUUGUCCGGAAUCAUUGGGCGUAAAGCGCGUGUAGGCGGUUCGGUAAGUCGGCUGUGAAGGUCCAGGGCUCAACCCUGGGAUGCCGGUCGAUACUGCCGGACUAGAGUUCGGAAGAGGCGAGUGGAAUUCCCGGUGUAGCGGUGAAAUGCGCAGAUAUCGGGAGGAACACCAAUGGCGAAGGCAGCUCGCUGGGACGUUACUGACGCUGAGACGCGAAAGCGUGGGGAGCAAACGGG